UGGGGGAUAUUGCACAAUGGGAGGAAACUCUGACGCAGUGACGCCGCGUGCAGGAAGAAGGUUUUCGGAUUGUAAACUGCUUUAGACAGGGAAGAAACAAGACAGUACCUGUAGAAUAAGCUCCGGCUAACUACGUGCCAGCAGCCGCGGUAAUACGUAGGGAGCGAGCGUUAUCCGGAUUUAUUGGGUGUAAAGGGUGCGUAGACGGGGAAUUAAGUUAGCUGUGAAAUCCCUCGGCUUAACUGAGGAACUGCAACUAAAACUGAUUUUCUUGAGUGCUGGAGAGGAAAGUGGAAUUCCUAGUGUAGCGGUGAAAUGCGUAGAUAUUAGGAGGAACACCAGUGGCGAAGGCGACUUUCUGGACAGUAACUGACGUUGAGGCACGAAAGUGUGGGGAGCAAACAGGAUUAGAUACCCUGGUAGU
This 424-nucleotide ribosomal RNA is filed under the name uncultured Acetivibrio sp. RNAcentral's name for it is "bacterial SSU rRNA". It matches the Rfam family "Bacterial small subunit ribosomal RNA", at positions 355 to 794 of the family's 1533-position model. The record is from RNAcentral. Lineage: Bacteria; Bacillati; Bacillota; Clostridia; Acetivibrionales; Acetivibrionaceae.